AAAGUACAUCAAAUAACUGUGUAACACUCACCAUACACCAUACAAUGAUCCAUGUGCUGGAUAUUCAGUUAUGAGCAAGACAGAAUACCUUUCCACAAAGAAAUUUCCUUCCAGGGCAAGCAUGUGGGAUCUUAGUUUCUGACCGGGGAUUGAACCCAUGCCCCCUGCAGUGGAAACAGAGUCUUAACCACUGGACCACAAGGAAAGUCCCUAUAUUGUUUAAUUGAAUACUGACAACAAACUUAUGUCUUAAGGUAUAAAAACAGGAAAGCUAUACUCUUGUUCCGUAGAAGCUCUCCAAGUCAGAAGGAUUCAGUUGGCUCUGUCAGCAAGUAUUGCAUUUCCAGAGCAGACCUGUAGAGGAACUGAGGAACAGAAGGAGUCCUAACCAACCUUGGUCAGACCCCUCAGACUUGUAACAUCGCUUAGCAAAAUCAAACCUAUUGGAUAUGGCUGAAAAAGGCCCAUCUUCCUUCUCGUUUUCUACUGCAUCUUCCUUGACCCUCAAACAAUCCCCAUGGUUGUCCAUGUGGUCAGGCAGCUGGCAUUUAACCACCUCAGGUAAGAGUAUCGUCUCACUUUCAGGGAAGGGUGCAGUCUUGAGGAAUCUUGACUUAAGAAAUGGAGUCCAGUGCAGAUCCCAAGAACUUCAGCUACUCUGUCUUCCAGGUUCUCUGGUGCUUGGGCUCUGUACCUCAUCACAAACUCCUCUAUUCUUUGUUUUCUAAAUAUGAGGAGGAAUCAGUGAGGCCUGAGGGAAGAUUCUAUGCUACAUCCCAGACCAGGGUAUCUGCUUCCUGGUGGUAGCAUCAGGAUCUGUCUUCAGACCUCAUAGGCUUUGCUGGCAUCUGACAAAAAUAUUUGUAGCUAUGUUAUAAUAUAUGCCUCUGAAGGAUCAUUUAAGAUCAGAUGAUAGUUUUGUGACAUGCUUUAGUACCUCUUUAAUAUUAAAAUUCUGUGGACCUUGUAGAAGUCAAUGGAAACUAGUGAAAUGUCAAAAUAUGUGACAUAAUAGAGGAAAGUGAGUUUUAGAAAUAUGCUUCACUGACAGAC
This is a non-coding RNA of Odocoileus virginianus texanus, 1053 nucleotides long. NCBI's taxonomy places the organism in Eukaryota, Metazoa, Chordata, Mammalia, Artiodactyla, Cervidae. The record is from RefSeq and is a predicted model, not a curated record.